This 30-nucleotide non-coding RNA is filed under the name Homo sapiens (human). Lineage: Eukaryota; Metazoa; Chordata; Mammalia; Primates; Hominidae. The record is from RNAcentral.
UGAGGGAAAAAUUGCUUUGGUGGGAUUAAC